Long non-coding RNA from Bubalus bubalis (water buffalo), 4545 nucleotides. RefSeq lists it as uncharacterized. The record is from RefSeq and is a predicted model, not a curated record. Lineage: Eukaryota; Metazoa; Chordata; Mammalia; Artiodactyla; Bovidae. The transcript has 2 exons.
CACAGAGACGCUGUGAGCCCCGGGGGGGUAGGGGGAAAGGUGGCUCUCUGUGGACCUCCUGGCCCCCAACCUGGACUGGGAAGAGGGCCAUACCAGGGCAGAGGCUCUUUCCUGGCAGAGGGCUGCCCUUCACCAUCAGCGCACACCCCCAAAUCCUGGCACCCCUAGAAGCAAACUCCCCUCCGUGGAGGGAUCAAUCUGCAAAGACACUUAGAGCCCUCCAUUUCGGGGCCCCUCCUGUCACCUGUGGUUUGCAGAGGGAAGGGUGAUGAGGGGGAGUCCCAGGGAAAGCCAGCUGUCAGAUGCAGAGAGGGUAAAGGUUGAGCUGGCUGGGCUCACCCAGAGGCCUCCAAAUGGAGGCGCACCCCCCUCUUUCUCCAGGGGAGGAGAUGCCCCUUUGGGAAGCCAGAGAAAGGCAGGAAGCCUGUGCCCAAGAGUAGAUUGGGCAGGCCAGGGCUCCAGCCCCCAAACAGCUGCUGUCUGGGCAGGAAGGUGUCCGUGGGGAGCCCGGGGAAGGGGCGGGGGUCAGCAGCAGCCCCUGGAGCCUAUGGCCCAGCUGGGCACCCCCCUCCCCAGAGCCCGCCGGCCCAGCUGAGGAGGGCCGUGGGCAGGGCCUGCCUUUGCAGAUCUGGCUUUAUCUUCCACACACAUUGAAACCAUCAGGCCUGGCCCUCCGAGCAGCCCGCCUAACCCCGUCAGCUAGAGACACUGAGCUUUCAUCCAAACCAGACCUUCCCUCCUCCAGGUCCCUGCUCGGGGGAAGGGGGGCAGAGAGCACAGGCCUGGAGCCAAUUCCUGAAUUUUUUAAUUGUUUGUCCCCUCUUCUACUCUCCUCUCUGAAAUAUCCACGAGGCCACCUCCCACUCUGGGCCCCCUCGCUCCCCACCUCAUCCUCCAAGGGGCAUUUAGAGGAUGCUAAGGAAAACAGGGAGUCCGGGGGCCCCAAAGGACAGAGCUGCACCAUCAAAGCAGCGAGGGCGCUUCUGUCCUUCCAGGUUUGGGGAAACCAAUUCAAAGGCAAACCCCGAAUGCCUCUUGCUUGGGGCCAAUAAAAAUCUUGCUUCAGUGCCGGCUUCCUCCGCUGAAAUCAGAUAUCCUAGCAAUAAACAAGUUUGAAAGGCAGGGAAAAGCUCUUACUUUCUUCUUCUGAUUAGUUUUUCUUCCAAUACCCUCUCCUUUCACAGGAUCCCUGCCCCAGAAACUUGAGUGCAGAACUGCACCCUGACUCCAAAGUCCUAACCUCCCCCCCAGGCUCCUGCAGGCACGGAGCUGGCUUUGCUCAAAGGCAGGUCGAAGGGGGCUGGGGGAACAGGCCUUGCAGCCUGGGGAGCUGGCUGCCAGCUUAUAGUUCUCAGCCUUUGGCUGCUGGCGGCAGUCAGAAACAAGAAGUGGAGUUAGGACAAACUGGGAGCACUUUUUUCUCAGGUAAUCCUUCUGAAGUCCCCUCCAUGCACUGCGGGCUGUGAAAAGCCCAGCACCAUGGGGUUUUGUGUCGAGCGCACAGUUGGGAAAGCCAGCCAAGGUGGGUUUUGAGGUGUCAGAGAGGCUGGGAGGGCAGAGGACUUGGGGUUUUGCUUCCUCGCCUGGCCCACCAGCCCUCUCUUGGGGGUACCCCGCCUUAUGUCUCUGUCUGUCCCAGGGGAGUGGUCCUCCACAGGCGGCCUGCUGUGAGGAGCACCCGCUAGGAGCUGACUCCUACCGCCCUCCCCUACCGUCUCCACUCCCCCGGAUAGCUUUUUAAGUGACUUUGCUGUCUGAGAUGCCAUUCUGUUUGUUUUUCCUUCUGACACUAUCUCUCCGGAGAGUUUCUGGUCAAGAGAAUUAUGUUGAGGCUGCAGAUUGCAAGAGAAUCGAGCCUAAUGGGGAACAGACAGACAAGACACCUUUCAUGUCCAGCCAAGUUUUCCUUUCCCCCCAACCCCCGUUCUUUCUCUCUCUCUCUCCCAACUUCUCAUCUUCCCUUUUUGGCUUCAAAGUUGGCCCUGGUUUGCACUAGUUUCUUCGGUACAGCUGGUGAAUAAGGUCACACAUUGAUUUUAUUUUGGAGAUUGGCAGCUGGGUCAAGCCUAGCUCUGAAGCUGGGGAGCUCCAGGCAGGAGUGCAGCCAGCCAGCUCGCGGAGAGAACCUUCCAGAAGGCCAUCGGCACUCGGAGGGUGGCUUCUGCUCCUUUGGGGUCUCAAAGCUCAGGAGCUGGACAGUGUAUUGAUUUUUAAAUACAAAAAACGGUGCCUAGAGUAACCCCCUCCACCGUCGCCCCGCACCCCCUCUCCAUCCCCACCGUGUGCCGUGUCAGCCCCCUGUGUUGGAGCUGACAGAAGACAGUGUCAGCUCUGAGGUCCCUUUUGGGACCCUGAAAUGAUUUUUUUUUCAGAGAGGGACUUGACCUUGCGAAUGAAGACUCGGCCACAGGCGGCCUGAGAUAUCUACAAACCGGGUAUAAAGCUGGGCGCGACUGGGUGUGGUUGAGGCAAAGUGGGUAGGGAAAAAAAGAGAGACCCUCUCCCUACCUACGUGCUGCUUGAGGGGAGGGCAGAUUAGCAAAAACUGUCUCGUGGACGGUUGGAUGCUUUCGCCCUUAGUCACGAGGCUGAUGUAAUAGCAUUCAACUGAUUUCAUGGUAAAGACAGCCACGGCUCCCAGCGCAAAUCAGCUCAAUUGCACGGCUGCACUUCUGGUCUCCUCGAAGCCCUCUAGGAACAGGGGGGCGAGGCGUCCACCCUCGGUGCUUUGGGGCCACUUCUCGUCUCAAGGACAAGGAUGUCCUGGAUUUUCCGAAUGCCCCGUUUGACCUCCUUCCUCCUGGCCCAGCCUUGGGGAACAGAAUUCAGCGCCUGUCUGGCCAUGGGGGCUAAAGGGCACUAUGCACACACUCUGAGCCCUGCAGCCUGUGACACAGUUUGCAUCUACGUGAGGGAAACAGGGUAAAAGAAAGCAAAGGGUGAGUCCAAUCAGGCUGGGUUUAAUUCUCUCCCUCCCUCCCAUCCCCUCUACUUGGGGUUCCAAAGUUUGUUCUGCAUUAAGACUUGUCAGUUCUCAACAAUGACUGCAGGCUGGAAAUCAUCCAUUUCUUUCAUGAUACUUCCCCUUGAGAAGAAACUGAUUAAAGCUUUCAAAUCUCAAAAGGAUCCAAGGUUACAGCAAGCUUCUAAAAUUACCAUCUUCAAAAAAGCCACAAAGGAGAAAACGACAGCGUUGAGAGAGAAAAUCUAGAUGAGAAAUAUUUGGGGCUCACGGCGAACGCAGGCAUUUCUACCAUCAGCCUGACCUCCUGCUCUGAAACUCAACUACCAAGGUGGGUCUAAUUUCCAACUGAACAGUCAAGAUUUAGAUACAAAGAAUUCAGAUUCCACUUACUUGAGGAUUUGAUGCUUUUUCAAGCAGUUCCUGAACCUACAGGGUAAAAAACAGAGUAAGUCAGAAGCCUGGCACAUACGACUCUUCUGAGAGCAGCUUACGGGCAGGAAAAGGGCCCUCACAUACAUAGUUCUCCCCGAAAGUGCGUUGCCCGUGACUGUAGGCCUCUAUCACCAUGUCCGCAGGUUUCGUUUUGCUGACUGCUACUAGCCGGGGCUGGAUGGCUGGGAGAUGCUGCCAAGAGGAAAAGAGCCAGAUGAGUCAAUGUUUGGACUUAUCCUGAUAAGUCCUGUAGGACAUCCUGUAGGAUGGAUCGGCAGAGAUCUUUACUUGGCAUUUGAUAAGAUCCACUUUUCCAAUACAGCAAGGCUAUCAGUAUCAAAUAAUGUUGAUGAAAUGUCUUUUGUAUGCAUGUUAGCCACAUUAAUAUCUAGCAGAGCAGAAGGGACUACCCUGGUGGUCCAGGGGUUAAGAGUCUGUGCUUUCAGGGGGCGUGGGUUUGAUCCCUGGUCGGGGAACUUAGAUCUCACAUGCUGCAUUGCAUGGCCAAAAAAUAAAUACAUGUAAAAACUAAAUAAAAAAAAAAGCUAGCAGAACACCUUUCUCUCUCAGGAGAGCUGGGAAGGUAAGUAAAAGCUUUAUUUGCUAGGAGUGUGGUCUUUAACCAAUAUUACCAGUAUCAUCUGGGUCCCCUCCUGACCCACUGGGUCCGAAUCUCAGAUUGGAGUCUGAGAAUUCUGCUUUAAAACAAACUCUUCAGCUGACUCUUGCAUGGCAAGGUUGGAGGUUUAAGAAUCACUUAGUUAAGAAAAGGCAUCAAUCUCUGACUAGAAGGGAGGCCACUUCCAGCUCCUAAAACCCCAAGGUCAACAGUUUUGGAAACUCAUUGUGAUCCUGGGGUAGCUAUCAAUACUGCCUCUCAGAAGCAGCCUUAGGGUAACUCUGCAAUUUAUGUGGCAGAACCAGUGGCAGAGGGGCAUCCCUGGUGAUCCAGUGGUUAAGAAUCCGCCUUCCAAUGGAAGUUCCAUCUCUCAUCAGGGAACUAAGAUCCCCCAUGCCUUGGGGCAAUUAAGCCCACCUCACAACUAGAGACAAGGGGGCGUGCCACAACGAAGAUCCUGGGUGGUGCAACUAAGACCUGAUGCAGCCAAAUAAAUGAAAUAUUGAAAAAAAAAAAAAAAAGAAAGAAA